AAUUCAAUGGAUGCUGCACAUUGAUACAGAUUUGGUCAUGGGAGCGUAUUCAUAUUGGACGCCUUACUUUACUUAUGCACCGUGACCUACAGGGGUAGUUUCCUUUGGCGUACAGGUAUAACGUGCGGUACGCUAGGUACCGAUCAGCGACGCGCCAUCGUGAGUUUUAUCGAAAUGAGCUUGAUGGCCUCCAACAUGAACAGUGCAAGUGGAGAUCCUAUACACCGUCGGAGCUCAAUAUGCAUUCUCUUGCACCCAUCUGUGGAGAUACUCCCGACUUGUGGAGAGCCAGAGUUCCAUUGAUUUGUUGGAAGAUCGUGGAGAUGCAUGUCCCUGAUCGUGUGUUACGACAGUUUACGCUCUCGCAGCAUGUGCCAGAUCCUGUCGGGCAGAUCGAUCGUCGGCGACGACCUACUUUGCACCAUACGGACUGGGUCAUAUUCCGUGCGGCCUACAUAGACAAGUGGGCUCACAGGUGAGAUUUCAUCCAGGAUACGAGGCCCACAGCUGUUGACUAUACCGUGUAUAUGCGUUGGUAUUAAGGUAUCACACGUAGAUGGAUCACGCGUGACCCACAACCAUCAGC
Asparagus officinalis (garden asparagus) is the source of this 586-nucleotide long non-coding RNA. RefSeq lists it as uncharacterized. The record is from RefSeq and is a predicted model, not a curated record. NCBI's taxonomy places the organism in Eukaryota, Viridiplantae, Streptophyta, Magnoliopsida, Asparagales, Asparagaceae. The transcript has 3 exons.